This 103-nucleotide microRNA precursor is filed under the name Marmota monax (woodchuck). The record is from RNAcentral. Lineage: Eukaryota; Metazoa; Chordata; Mammalia; Rodentia; Sciuridae.
AGUGCAAUUGCUUUAUUGAAUAGUAAGGGUAUAUUUACAUUUGUAAGAAACAGCCAAAUUAUGUUUCAAAGUAGCUGUACCAUUUUGUAUUCUCACCAGCAAU